Molecule: ribosomal RNA, 476 nt
Filed under: uncultured bacterium
Lineage: Bacteria
Description: bacterial SSU rRNA
Rfam family: Bacterial small subunit ribosomal RNA
Source: RNAcentral
GGCUCAGGAUUAACGCUGGCGGCGUGCCUAACACAUGCAAGUCGAACGAAAUAUCUUCGGAUAUUUAGUGGCGAACGGGUGAGUAAUGUACAGGUAAUGUACCUUCGUACUGCGAAUAACAAGCUGAAAAGUUUGCUAAUACGGAAUAGUUUCAUUAGGGGGCAUCCUUUGAUGAAUAAAGAUUUAUCGUGCGGAGAUCAGCCUGUAUCCUAUUAGUUAGUUGGUGGGGUAAUGGCCUACCAAGACCGACGAUGGGUAACUGGUCUGAGAGGAUGAGCAGUCACAUUGGAACUGAGAUACGGUCCAAACUCCUACGGGAGGCAGCAGUGAGGAAUUUUGCGCAAUGGGGGAAACCCUGAACCGCAGCAACGCCGCGUGAGUGAAGACGGCCUUCGGGUUGUAAAGCUCUGUCGUGUAUGACGAGUAGGGACGGUAAUACACAAGGAAGCCUCGGCUAACUACGUGCCAGCAGCCGC